This 645-nucleotide ribosomal RNA is filed under the name Hyposerica sp. DA4290. RNAcentral describes it as "eukaryotic LSU rRNA". It matches the Rfam family "Eukaryotic large subunit ribosomal RNA", at positions 663 to 1265 of the family's 3401-position model. Lineage: Eukaryota; Metazoa; Arthropoda; Insecta; Coleoptera; Scarabaeidae. RNAcentral also lists the same sequence under 1 other name. The record is from RNAcentral.
GGACCAAGGAGUCUAGCAUGUGCGCGAGUCAUUGGGAUAUUUACGAAACCUAAAGGCGCAAUGAAAGUGAAGGUCCGCCGUGCGCGGACCGAGGGAGGAUGGGCGGUCUCGAGGGGCCGCCUCGCACUCCCGGGGCGUCUCGUUCUCAUCGCGAGAAGAGGCGCACCCAGAGCGUACACGCUGGGACCCGAAAGAUGGUGAACUAUGCCUGGUCAGGACGAAGUCAGGGGAAACCCUGAUGGAGGUCCGUAGCGAUUCUGACGUGCAAAUCGAUCGUCGGAACUGGGUAUAGGGGCGAAAGACUAAUCGAACCAUCUAGUAGCUGGUUCCCUCCGAAGUUUCCCUCAGGAUAGCUGGCGCUCGCUUCUCGCGAGUCUCAUUCGGUAAAGCGAAUGAUUAGAGGCAUUGGGGUCGAAACGGCCUCAACCUAUUCUCAAACUUUAAAUGGGUGAGAUCUCCGGCUUGCUUGAACUGUGAAGCCGCGAGAUAUCGGAUCAGAGUGCCAAGUGGGCCACUUUUGGUAAGCAGAACUGGCGCUGUGGGAUGAACCAAACGCCGAGUUAAAGCGCCUAAAUCGACGCUUAUGGGAUACCAUGAAAGGCGUUGGUAACUUAAGACAGCAGGACGGUGGCCAUGGAAGUCGGA